Molecule: non-coding RNA, 21 nt
Organism: Caenorhabditis elegans
Lineage: Eukaryota; Metazoa; Nematoda; Chromadorea; Rhabditida; Rhabditidae
Source: Ensembl
UAAAUCAACUGUUCGAAACAU